RNAcentral lists this unclassified non-coding RNA (377 nucleotides) under plant metagenome. RNAcentral's name for it is "partial contains 5.8S ribosomal RNA, internal transcribed spacer 2, and large subunit ribosomal RNA". The stretch from base 1 to 104 matches the Rfam family "5.8S ribosomal RNA", at positions 50 to 154 of the family's 154-position model. The record is from RNAcentral.
GAAAUGCGAUAAGUAAUGUGAAUUCAGAAUUCAGUGAAUCAUCGAAUCUUUGAACGCACCUUGCGCUCCUUGGUAUUCCUUGGAGCAUGCCUGUUUGAGUAUCAUGAAAUCUUCAAAGUAAAUCUUUUGUUAACUCAAUUGGUUUCUACUUUGGUAUUGGAGGUCUUUGCAGCUUCACACCUGCUCCUCUUUGUUCAUUAGCUGGAUCUCAGUGUUAUGCUUGGUUCCACUCGGCGUGAUAAGUUAUCUAUCGCUGAGGACACUGUAAAAGGUGGCCAAGGUAAAUGCAGAUGAACCGCUUCUAAUAGUCCAUUGACUUGGACAAUACUUUUAUGAUCUGAUCUCAAAUCAGGUAGGACUACCCGCUGAACUUAAGC